RNAcentral lists this unclassified non-coding RNA (3509 nucleotides) under Leishmania donovani. Its description in RNAcentral is "gene:LdHU3.31.4270(CDS-product:32-trans-enoyl-CoA _isomerase_mitochondrial_precursor_putative)". Lineage: Eukaryota; Euglenozoa; Kinetoplastea; Trypanosomatida; Trypanosomatidae. The record is from RNAcentral.
UCGUCUCUUCGCCGCCGCGUCCGCCAGGCCUCCAACGAAGACCCACCAUAUCCCACAUUCUUGUCGCACCGCCUUGUUGUUUGCUGUCGUCGCAGCACUUCUGCGAUCAUGCGCCGCGCCAUAUCGUCCACUCUCACCCGUGGCGCCCGCACUCUUGGCGUCAAGUCGGGGCUGUUUCAGCUCACGCAGUACCGCUUCCAGUGGCAGCCGCUGCCCGGUGUGCCGCCGCAACUGAGGGUGGCUCUGCAUGACCGGCAUCAAGACACGAAUGCCGCUCCUGCGGGAUCGAAGCGCAGCGACGACGCGCAGCCAGAGUUCGAGCCCCCAAAGAAGCCGACAGGGGUGCCCAAGCUUCUGAGAAUCAACACAAAUGAGAAGGGCAUCACAAACGUGCAGCUGGCCCGUGCCCCGGUGAACUCGAUGAGCCUGGAGCUCUUCCAGGAGCUGAACCAGUGGAUGCUGUGGCUUGGAAACAACGAGGAGACGAAGGCUGUGAUCAUCUCCUCUGCGAUUCCGACAGUCUUCUCGGCUGGACUGGAGUUCUCCGAAGUGCAUAACCCGAAGCCGGAUCGCAUCGCGGUCUUCUGGCAGAGCUUCCAGGAGAUGUGGCGCAUCCUGAACACCUUCCCCAAGCCAAUCAUCGCGGCCAUCACCGGCAACUCACCGGCGGCGGGCUGUAUCAUCGCGAUGGGCUGCGACUACCGUGUGAUGGCUCGCGGGCCGAAGGACAACACGAACAACAACCGGCUCUACCACAUCGGUCUUAACGAGUCCAAGUUGGGACUCGUCGCGCCGCCUUGGACUGUAUCAGCCUAUGCCUACCUGCUGGGCUCGCGCCAGGCGGAGCGGAUGCUGCAGCUGGGCGAGACACCCGUGGCCGACGAUGCGCGAAACCUCGGGCUCAUUGAUGAGGUGGCCGCCGAUGAAGAAAGCACAAUCGAAGCGGCCUACCAGCAGGCGGAACGCUUUCUCAGCGUGCCGCAGCAGGCGCGUCGGGUGGCUCGUGAUAUGGUGCGCUGCGAAUACUUGCGGUUGCUUGCCACCGAGGACGACCGCAACUACGAUACAGAGUUUUUCACACAAUAUAUGCUGCGACCUGAGGUGCAGAAGAACCUUGAAAGCUACCUGGAACGCCUCAAGAGCCGCUCUCGUAAGUAACGCCGAGUGAUUCUAGCGCGAAUCCGGCACAUCGGCGUGUUAUUUCUCUUGCGUGAAUUCUGCAAUCUGACGUCUACAUGCCCCUCAUGAGGAGAGGCUCUGAGUUCUUUGUGCGCACGCGCUGUCAAGCACCGCCGGCACGGCGCCUCGCAUCCGAAGAAAGCAUGCAGAGGCGCGAAGAGACGCAUGCGAGCGAGCCGCCGUGUGCAUGUGCGCAGAUCAUGCGGAACGUCCCCCACCCGGCCGUGUGGGCUGCUGAGGCACAGAUGCCCGGGGGGGGCAUGACGCGAGCACCCCGAAUGGCAGCAUCGAGUCGUCCGGGCACCCAUGUGGCGAGUCUCCACACCGUACUAUGGCAUGCCGCUGCUUGAGGCGACGGAGGGCGCGAGGGAGGGCGCACAGGCGGAGCACAGGGCCUCCAGGGGGCCCUGGCCUGCGGCUGCCCAACUGAUUCCGUGAGCCCGUGCGGCAUGCACCUGGGCCACCACCACCCCUCUACUACGCGCACGGCGGACGCCGGUGCCUCCGCCCUUGAGCAGGGCCCUGGACGCUGCCCGCGUUGGGUCCAGGCGCGCAGUGCACCCAGGUCGGUCUGGUGCCGGUGGCGCAGCACGCGUGCGAGGGAGGCGCGAGGAAGGACAAGAAGAGACCGUGAGACGCAUGUCCCCGCUUCGGCGGCAGCCGUCUCGCCCUAGAGGGCCAAGAUGCCGCCGUGGUGCAGCGGAGGCGUCUGCGUUGUGAUAGCGUGUAUGCGUGCAUAUCUGUCGACGUGCUCGGUGUGCAGUGGAGUGCGUGGCCGCGAAGCAAAUCAAUCAAAAAGAAAAUGCCUUUAUCUGCUUUCUCCCUAUUCCGCUUUUUUUUCCGCAUGGUGAGUCAGCUCACCUCCCCCCCCCUCCCCACCACCAGCUUCUUCUCUCCUAAGUGACUGAUGGCACGCAAAACGCUCUUCUGGUGACGCUGCCGUACAUACUCCCUUCGCCCUCUUUUAUGCUUUAUCGCGUUUUCCUUUUCUCUUGGGCUCGUGUCUUUUUCGUUCGUGUGGGGGUUUCGUUGCUCCCACGUGUUACCUGAGUAGGCUCGUGGAUUCUGUCCACGCGUGUCGUUUGGGAGCUGGCACCGCUGCUGUCGUCGUGCUAGCAGAGGAAGAGCCUGUGUGAUGCUUCUGCGAAUCCCUCGAGUCCUGUGUGGCUGCGGUGGCGGCCGCUUACAGUACAUCUGAUAUACGUGCGUGUGGUGCGCCUGAGUCGAUGUCACUCGGAAGCCUCUUCGGAUUCGGACAUCGGGCGCUACGACGCGUCCAACUCGUCUCUUGAUUGCUCUCGUCAACGCGAAAGCGAAAAGGGUGCUCUCAUCCAUCCGCGGGUAUCGCGGCAGCGUCUUUUUUUCUGUCCUCAUGUUUUGGUUUUGCUGCUCUGCUUGUGUGUGCGCGUGCUUUUAGCCUUGGUGUUGAGGGAGGGACCUGGAAGAUGAUAUCUUCGUCCUCCUUGCGACCCACGACACCGUCACUUCGGCCCCUCUCGUGAUGGGAGUCUCCGCCGUCGAGGCACAGCAAGCGUCAGAGUCGUUUUUCGAGAGCGGAUCUGUGCGGGUGAGUAUUCCCCUUUGCCUAUAGUGUACGUUUCUUGCUCCUAAAGAAGGUCGAGGAGCUGCCUUACGCGCGCACGUGUGCGCAGGCGUUUUUGUUGUUGUUUUCGCGUACUACCUCGACUGGCGGCAGCGCUGAUGGCGAAGUUUGUGGGGCUCAGCACGCAACAACGCAAAAUGGACGGGCGACACACAAAUGCCGUGAGCCGCAGCUUGAGGGCACGGGUGUCGGAGCCGGUGGCCACGACUCGGCAAAGCUGCCCGUCUCCCUCUCUCUCUCUGUCAAGCUCACACGACGGACGGCUGCAGCUCAUCUGCGCGCCCAUUUCACAACGCACCGCCACGCCGCAAUCACAGACACACAGAGGGAGAGAGAACGCAAGUCCUCCGCUGGGAAACGCACGAAAACAAGACCGCUGAAGGCGGAGCCAUGGCGGUGUAGCAGCGCUUGUAGUACCGCGAUCUCGCCCGAUUGCCUGCAUGUCUUCGGUCCUCUUGUCGUUUUCUUGCUUGCAAGCCUUUUUUUUUGUUGUUCGCCUUCGUAGUUUACAGCAUAUCUGCGAAUUCAUGCGCAUAACCGCUUCCCCUCCCUCUUCCCUCUUUCUCUCUCUAUUUGUGCAUGCGUGUGCUUCCUUUCCGUUCUCAUAUAUGAACUUGCUUUCUUUGGUGGUGCUUAGUGGCGUGUGUGGGAGGGGGGAUCUCCUCUCGUUUCGACGUCCCAGGCCUCUCUCCCUUCUGUUUUUAUAGUUGUGCGGCCCACACAACAU